Passer domesticus (house sparrow) is the source of this 6525-nucleotide long non-coding RNA. RefSeq lists it as uncharacterized. The record is from RefSeq and is a predicted model, not a curated record. NCBI's taxonomy places the organism in Eukaryota, Metazoa, Chordata, Aves, Passeriformes, Passeridae. The transcript has 2 exons.
UUCUAGAAAGAAGAGGAAUCGGUGACAGAUGGGUGAAUCCCAGAAGUUUGGUUCCUUAUCUGGUGUCUCUUACUUUAUGAACUUUUGUAUAUUCAAAAUUGGCCUACAAAGUUCAUGAGAACAGAAAACUCAUGAGAAAAGACUGUCUUGCAUGAUUUUGAGUAUUUUCCCCUUUUCACUUGGCUGAGGAUACAAUUUGAAUGGCGGACUUUGGCAUUCUUACUUGUAGAAGUUGCCAGAAAUUGGAAGCACAAAAACAUGAAAAAUGAAAAUAAAUUAGCCAAGAGUUUUGAAGCUAAAAAUAAUUUGGUUUGCAGAGUUCAAGUUUUAACAAAAGGUUCAGAGUCAGGAGCUGGAAAAUAUCUAAUUUGAUAUGGAUUAAAUUUAUCCAUUGAUACAGUUUUCUGAAGUUUUACAAUAUGGGCCUUGUAUUCAACAUGGGUCGAAAGAAAGGAGAGUUGUAUUUAUUCUGUCAAACUUCUGCUUGUCUGGGGACCAAUGAGCUCUGUUUCAUGCACCAGGUGCAUUCUUACACCACAGAAGUUAUGAUCACUAUCAUAAAGAGGAUGCACUGCAAGCAGGCAGAAAAAAGAGGUUUAUUUUCCAGAAAAUACAGUCACAAGGAGUGCUGGUGGCAGAUGCAGGUGCAGAAUUCUGUUUAGAAGCAGAUCACCACUAACCAUUUUUGGCCUUUAAGAACAAAGCUUUCUAACACUAUUAGUCCUAACAACAACCUUAACUGCAGAGGCUGGAGGCUGACUGUAAACCACAUGUGGUCAAGGGUUUCAAAGCAAACUGAGUGUUACAGAUGUGUGAUGAGGCUCAUAGUGAUGCUAAGUGCCAAUGCUUCUAAUAGGAGCUGCCUUCAGCCACCUCUUAAAAACCUUAGACUUUAUGAGAAACUACAAGGUGGGUUUUUUUUAAUGUGAUGGAAACUCUAAUUUAGUUUUCCAGAGUAUUUUUCUUUUGCCUAAAAUAGUGAUAAUGUAAGUCUAAAAAUAUUUUCUAUAGGAUUGGAUGGUGCCUAAUUUUUGUUACUAAAAAGAAUACCUGAAGAUAAUAUUGAAUUUUUUAUUGAAGUAAUAAUUUAAUUUUUCAAACAUGGAAUGAAAUAAUAGAAACAUGGACAUCUCAAUGCAACUUGGCUGUUCUAUACUCUUUUUAAACACCAUAUAAGAGUGAAAUACUGCACUCUGCUUACACUUGAGCAUUUGUUUUUGGAUUGUCUUCCUGCUGCUUAUAUUUGUAUGAGUUAUUAAUUUGAAUUUCUAGAUGAACCCAGAAAAGAAUUUAAAAAAACCCAUAAAUUCAAGAAUUCCAAAAUCCAUCUUAUAAUAAAUUUACUGGUAAAUGGAUAAUGUGCCAGAGCAGAAACAAAUCUGAAUAAUGGAGCACAGCACAAUCUUUCAAAGAGAAGUCAUAAAAACUUAAUGUGUCUGGAAGAAAAUGAAGCCCAAAUGUUUUACGUUACAUUUAGGAAGCCAGAGCAUUUUAAUAUGACUUAAAAUUUUUUACUGUAGAGUUUGUUGUAAUGCACAAUAUAAUUGCUAGAGGAAAACAGAAAUAUUUUAAAACAAACUGAAAGUAAAAUUAUGCUAGUUGCAAAUAAAGCUACUCACUGACUGUAAAAUAAAAUUGAUGCACAGAUGCUCAUACAAGUGCUUAGUAUUAUUGUGAAUAAUGUUCAAUGCAAAUGCAGAGAAUCUGGCAGUUAAAAGAGCCACAACAGCUAAAUUAAAGCCUGAACUAGUAGAACUUAGUAGAAAAAAGAUUUAAGAGUUUGGUAUGGCACUUCAGCUGUUUCGUAGACAAAUCUAAAACUUAGCACAAAGAACACAAGCCCUGGAGUCAGAUUAUGGAUCCAACCAAGGAUGAAGAGCACAAAUUUGAUAUUAAGAUUCUAAGCUGAAUGCCUUUUAUUUAUCUCUGCAAUUUAUGUCAAUAUGCAAUUAUAUGCACAUAUUAGGCGUUUUAGUACAAUUUAAAAAUCCCAUUUGCAUAAGCUAUUCACUUAUUUCUAGUUUUAUAUGCCUUCAUUUAAAUAUCUAGAAUGUUUCACUGCCUUUGGUGCCUUUAGUGACCUCUCUUGAUGAAGCAGGAGAUUGAGGUUUGUGGAGACAAAAGGUGGGGCCAGUCUCAAUCAGGGUCUGUUCACAUCAGACAGGGAAUAUAAGGAAGGUAAUCCAUGGAGCAAAAGGCCACUGAGAAGUGACAUCCAAGGAAAAUAAGGAGCAGAUUAUCUGUUAUAUUCACAGGGCUCUAUAGGGCAAAACUAGAGGCAUGCUAAAUUGAAAGCUUCUGCAUCAGUUUCAGAGAGGAAAGUAAAACUGAGGACAUCUUGGAAGUCUGCCACAGACCUGAUUGAUAGGAAACAGGGGAAGAAGCCUUCUCCAAACAAGAGUGGAAGCCUCCCACCUGCAGGCACCUGCAUUUAUGGGUGGUCUCAGCUGUCCAGACAAACUGCUAUGAGGUCACUGUGGCUUCAUGCAGACAGCCCCAGGCUGCACUGCGUGGGUGACACAUUUCCAACACAAAUGUUAGAGAGGCUGUCCGGGGGUGCUGCUCUCUAGGACUUACUGUCCACAGACUGAGAAGGACUGACAAACACAGUCACUGGUGGCAUCUUAACGUGCAGGGAGCACAAGACAAUGAAGCUCAGGAUUUGGAGGAAGCCUGGAAAUAAAACUGCAGAGAACAGACCUGGUUAUUCAAGGAAUUGCUAAGCGAAGUCCUCUGUGAAGCAGCCAUGCAGCAGCAGGGCUGUAUCCAACAGAGCUGUAUGACUCCUUCAAAUCCUUCCUGGUGGAUCGUGAACAAGACAUGCUUUUAUGAGGGAAAACAACAAGUUUCAAAACAAGACCAGCUUGCCUGAAAGGGUGCUUCUUGAUGAACUGAAAAAUAAAGAGUGAAGGUGUUUGAAAUGGAAACAAAAACAGGCAACAAAGGAAGAAUAUGAAAGGAUCACUAAGGUGCUUAGAGACGAAAUCAGGAAAGUCAAAACCCUAAAGCCAAAAAUAGCUUCAUUAUAUUGAGCAAGAAGAACAAAUUGUAAAGGAGAUUUGGGGCUGCUGGUGUAUAAGAGACAACACAGUGUUGGUUCUGUGGAAAAAGCUGAAGUAUUCAGGGCCUUUUUCACUUUUCUUAUCACAGGCAGAACCUUCUCCCUGGUCUUUGCAAGUAUCAGAACAGUUCAGGUAGGAGCCAGUGUUGUGUGAACAAGCUAGAAACUGCUUCAUCUUGGCAUAGUCAUAUUCCUGGGACUGACCUAAAGGUGCUGGAAAAGUUGGCUGCUGUAGCUGCCUUCCUGGCUGCUGUGAUUCCAAGGCUGCUGUGUAUUGUCUGCAAAAAAAUCAUGAUGAAUGGAAAAAGCAAACAAUACAGUCAUGUUCAAGAAUGACAAAAAAUAGGAUCUGGAACGCUAUCAGCUGCUGGCUUACCUCAGUCCCUGCAAAGAUUGUGGUGCACGAUCCUCUCUUGGAACCCAUUUCUAAACUCAAACAGGACAAGGAGGUAAUCAGAAACAGACAUCCUGGUUACUUUCUGUAGUGAAAUUACUGGUUAUCAGAAUGAGGGGAAAGGGGUGGAUAUGCCUUUAGUAGGAUUUCUGACCCCAGACCUCUCAUCUGGAAGCUGAGAAAGGAUGGGCUGGGUGAUCAGACCAUGGGAUGAAUUGAAAUGGCUCUGUGCUCCGGUAGUGGUCAGUAAAAAGCAAAGUAUUCCAAGGUUGAUAAUGGAGCUUAUGUUUCUCAGUAUUUUUGUCCAUGACUUGUAUAAUAAAGCAGAAAGCACUGUUCAGUAAAUUUGCAAGCAUCAUUAAGACAAGAAGGAGCUGCUGAUACAGCAAAGGACACAGUUUAUAUUCAGACUGAGAAACUUGAGGAUUGGGCCAGCAUGAAUUUCAACAACAAGAACAAAUAUCUGCAUGUGGAAGACUGGGAACAGGCUGGCUGAGUAGCAGCCUUGCUGCAGGAGACCUUGGGAAUACAGUGAAGGACAAAUAGUUACACAGGUUGAAAAAGUGUCUGGAGGUUGACUUGUUGAAUUUUCUGGCAUUUUAAGAUCAGGUUGCUUAGGGCCUUGUCUUACUGUAUUUUGAAAAUCUCCACACCUCAACUUGAUAUAGUAUUUAUCUACCCUCAUGUUAGGAAUUUUCACUUAUAUUGAGUUGGAAUUUUCUGCACUGUCCUUCCUGCAUCUCAGAAAAGAGUAGCCCUAUUCUCACUACACUCUCCCAGUACAUUGUAGGUAGCAAUAAUAUCUCCCACAGCCUCUUUCUCCAUACUGACCAAACCCAGCUCCCUCAGUUUCUCUUUGAACAUCCUGUGCUUCAGCCUACUGACUACCUUGGUCACUCUCCUGCUGGAGUGAUCCCAAAGCUGCAUAUCUUUCUUGUACUGGAGUGAACCCAAAACAGGAUACAAAACAUGUGGUCUCACAGAGCUGGAAGGAGGGAAUAGUCACUUCCCUUGACUGUUGGCUAAACUCUUUAAAUACAGCCCAAAAGCUGGCUGUCUUUCUUCCCUGCAUGUGCACACUACUGACUUUUCCACAGGGACACCGGAGAUUUUCUGAAAAACUACUGGAAUAAGAGACAAAAGUGCACUGCCAUAAUGAACAAGGAAAAGUGGAUAAUGAGCUAUGGCACACAUUAGGAAGGUGGGGUCAAACAGUUGGAGGAAUUUAUUAUAACCCUCUCCAUGGCUCUGGUGAGACUACAUCUGGAAUGCAGCAACCUGUUUUAAGUACUGCUUUCCAAGUGGAUGUUGAGAAAUGGCAAGAGUCUGAAAGAGGCCUUCCUUCUUCAGUGGGCAGGGAUUUUGAACAGAGGGCCUUUGCAAAGGGCUUAGGUGUGGAAAAGGGGCAUGGAGGGAUAGUCUGGCAGCAGCCUAGAAAUACUUGAAUGGUGUAAAUCUAAUGUCUUUACAGUAGUGGCAAAUGAUAUGAGACAACAGCAUAGAGUUCAGCUUGAGAGGUUGGAGGAACAGGCCUAGGUCAGCCACAGAGCUGAUGGAGUUUCUGUUCUUGGAGGUUUUCAAGCCUUGGGUAGACAAAGCUGAUCUAAUACUGGCAAUUGUUUGUCUCUGAGUGGGAUUUUGAGAUGUGCAGAAGUUUGUUUCAGAAACAUUUCUGUUUCUGUGAUCUGAUGCUGUUAGGCAGAAAAACCUCAUAUGAAUAGACUGCGCUGCUCACCAGAAAUCACAGAUACUUUACAACAUUCAAGGUGGCACAGCUUACCAGCUUUCCACUGACCCCUACUGGUUCCUGAAAUGCUACUGGCAAAAUUAAUUAAGAAUUACAAUACCGCUAAUUUAUUAGAAGACUUAGGAAAACCUACACAAUGCAAGCAUUUUGCCACAGUCCUUUGUGAAAAAACACUAUUUCUUGGAAUUUGCUUAGUAUAAAAUAGCCCUGGUUUAGGGUUUGUUCAAUUUGCAAAGGUUGCCUGAGAAGUUCUGGUCUGAGGAGUGGUUCUCAUGUAAUGGUGAUGUUGUGUACUUUAUUUACACCCCAGGUCCUGCUCUCUGAUCAACAUUUAUGUCAGUUAUUAUGACCACACUGUGGCUUAAACAUGCUGCCUGGUGUUUUGUCUAGGUCAGAGCUUCCAAAUUUUCUAAUUUGGAUCCUGCCAUGGUGCAGAUGGUAAAUAUUAGCAGGGAUGGUGACAACAUCUCUUGUCUCUCUUGUGGCUCAUAUGCACAUGAGGAUAGAUUUGUACUGUGAAUGUUUUCCGAAUCCUUCUCUCACAUAUUUUCUCCUCCACAAACUCACCUGGUGGAAUUUUCUGCCACUUGUCUCUCUCCUCACACUACGUUUUGAAAGAAAUUUAGAAAACACUCCUGAAAGCGGUGCAGGACAAAAAAGAAGAUACAGAAUGCUAAUAACCAUGAAAACAGCAAUAUAGUGGACAUUGUGACCAAUUUUUAGUCUUCUUCUGUUGUUUUAUGGACUUUUUUUUUUGAAAGAAUAAGUAGAAUGUUCCUAUGAAGACCACCAAUACAGUGCCUGAUGGAGAUAAAACUUUGAGGAUUUUCACCAAACUAAACCCAAGAUUUAAUACAUUUCCUAUUCUAAAAAUUAUUUGGCAGUCCAAAAAAGAAAGUUGAGAAACACAUAUUGCUUAACAAACUGUUGAAAUAGAAUGCUUCAUAUUAGCACAUUUUGCCUUUGGCUCUGCCAGACUAAAGUGUGAUGCCUCCAACUCAUCACAGAGGCUAAUACCAACCUGGUGGGUAACUGGAUAGAGAGACCACCUGGACAUUUCCAGUGCUCUAAACACAAGUCAAGAAACUGUGGCUGAACCCUUGGCAAAUGUCUGACAAUGGAAACCUAGUGAGUGGGAAGACUUCACUUGACCCUAUUGUCAUUCCCAGCUAACAGUUUGGAGCAGAAGGAAGUUAUUGAUUUUUAUUAGUUCAUUUGAACAAUACUGUAACAAGAAGAAAUUGGGAAUAUCUUUAAUCCUGGAGACACACACAUCACAGAAUAUUGACUUAUUUUACAGAAUAAAAAUAAUUAAUUAUGUGA